RNAcentral lists this ribosomal RNA (453 nucleotides) under uncultured Desulfobulbus sp. RNAcentral's name for it is "bacterial SSU rRNA". It matches the Rfam family "Bacterial small subunit ribosomal RNA", at positions 933 to 1382 of the family's 1533-position model. The record is from RNAcentral. Lineage: Bacteria; Pseudomonadati; Thermodesulfobacteriota; Desulfobulbia; Desulfobulbales; Desulfobulbaceae.
UGGAGUAUGUGGUUAAUCGAUGCAACGCGAAGAACCUUACCUGGUCUUGACAUCCCGGAGACCCUUAGGAAACUAGGGGGUGCUUCCAUCUGGAAGAAUCUGGAGACAGGUGCUGCAUGGCUGUCGUCAGCUCGUGUCGUGAGAUGUUGAGUUAAGUCCCGCAACGAGCGCAACCCUUGCCUUUAGUUGCCAGCAGUUCGGCUGGGCACUCUAAAGGGACUGCCGGUGUUAAACCGGAGGAAGGUGGGGAUGACGUCAAGUCCUCAUGGCCUUUAUGACCAGGGCUACACACGUACUACAAUGGCCGAUACAAAGGGCAGCGACACUGCGAGGUGAAGCCAAUCCCGUAAAAUCGGUCUCAGUCCGGAUUGGAGUCUGCAACUCGACUCCAUGAAGUUGGAAUCGCUAAUAAUCGUGGAUCAGCAUGCCACGGUGAAUACGUUCCCGGGCCUU